Molecule: ribosomal RNA, 460 nt
Filed under: uncultured bacterium
Lineage: Bacteria
Description: partial 16S ribosomal RNA
Rfam family: Bacterial small subunit ribosomal RNA
Source: RNAcentral
CCUACGGGAGGCAGCAGUGAGGAAUAUUGGUCAAUGGACGAGAGUCUGAACCAGCCAAGUAGCGUGAAGGAUGACUGCCCUAUGGGUUGUAAACUUCUUUUACAUGGGAAUAAAAUGUUCCACGUGUGGGCUUUUGUAUGUUCCAUAGGAAUAAGGAUCGGCUAAACCCGUGCCAGCAGCCCUGGUAAUACGGAGGAUCCGAGCGUUAUCCGGAUUUAUUGGGUUUAAAGGGAGCGUAGGUGGGUUGUUAAGUCAGUUGUGAAAGUUUGCGGCUCAACCGUAAAAUUGCAGUUGAAACUGGCAGUCUUGAGUACAGUAGAGGUGUGCGGAAUGCGUGGUGUAGCGGUGAAAUGCUUAGAUAUCACGAAGAACUCCGAUUGCGAAGGCAGCUCACUGGACUGCAACUGACACUGAGGCUCGAAAGUGUGGGUAUCAAACAGGAUUAGAUACCCCGGUAGUC